CAGUAGCCACGGUAAUACGUAGGUGGCAAGCGUUGUCCGGAAUUAUUGGGCGUAAAGGGCUCGCAGGCGGUUUCUUAAGUCUGAUGUGAAAGCCCCCGGCUCAACCGGGGAGGGUCAUUGGAAACUGGGAAACUUGAGUGCAGAAGAGGAGAGUGGAAUUCCACGUGUAGCGGUGAAAUGCGUAGAGAUGUGGAGGAACACCAGUGGCGAAGGCGACUCUCUGGUCUGUGACUGACGCUGAGGAGCGAAAGCGUGGGGAGCGAACAGGAUUAGAUAUCCGUGUAGUCCCUGUCUCUUAUAC
This 301-nucleotide ribosomal RNA is filed under the name uncultured bacterium. RNAcentral describes it as "partial 16S ribosomal RNA". It matches the Rfam family "Bacterial small subunit ribosomal RNA", at positions 509 to 807 of the family's 1533-position model. The record is from RNAcentral.